AUUGAACGCUGGCGGCAGGCCUAACACAUGCAAGUCGAGCGGAUGAAGGGAGCUUGCUCCUGGAUUCAGCGGCGGACGGGUGAGUAAUGCCUAUGAAUCUGCCUGGUAGUGGGGGAUAACGUCCGGAAACGGGCGCUAAUACCGCAUACGUCCUGAGGGAGAAAGUGGGGGACCUUCGGACCUCACGCUAUCAGAUGAGCCUAGGUCGGAUUAGCUAGUUGGUGGGGUAAAGGCCUACCAAGGCGGCGAUCCGUAACUGGUCUGAGAGGAUGAUCAGUCACACUGGAACUGAGACACGGUCCAGACUCCUACGGGAGGCAGCAGUGGGGAAUAUUGGACAAUGGGCGAAAGCCUGAUCCAGCCAUGCCGCGUGUGUGAAGAAGGUCUUCGGAUUGUAAAGCACGUUAAGUUGGGAGGAAGGGCAGUAAGUUAAUACCUUGCUGUUUUGACGUUACCAACAGAAUAAGCACCGGCUAACUUCGUG
This 484-nucleotide ribosomal RNA is filed under the name uncultured bacterium. Its description in RNAcentral is "partial 16S ribosomal RNA". It matches the Rfam family "Bacterial small subunit ribosomal RNA", at positions 30 to 507 of the family's 1533-position model. The record is from RNAcentral.